This 45-nucleotide ribosomal RNA is filed under the name Ramaria subbotrytis. Its description in RNAcentral is "partial 28S ribosomal RNA". Lineage: Eukaryota; Fungi; Basidiomycota; Agaricomycetes; Gomphales; Gomphaceae. The record is from RNAcentral.
UCAAAUCAGGUAGGACUACCCGCCCGAACUUAAGCAUAUCAAUAA